This 497-nucleotide ribosomal RNA is filed under the name uncultured bacterium. Its description in RNAcentral is "partial 16S ribosomal RNA". It matches the Rfam family "Bacterial small subunit ribosomal RNA", at positions 28 to 507 of the family's 1533-position model. The record is from RNAcentral.
GAUGAACGCUGGCGGCGUGCCUAAUACAUGCAAGUCGAGCGAACGGACGAUAAGCUUGCUUCUCUGAUGUUAGCGGCGGACGGGUGAGUCACACGUGGAUAACCUACCUAUAAGACUGGGAUAACUUCGGGAAACCGGCGCUAAUACCGGAUAAUAUUUUGAACCGCAUGGUUCAAAAGUGAAAGACGGUCUUGCUGUCACUUAUAGAUGGAUCCGCGCUGCAUUAGCUAGUUGGUAAGGUAACGGCUUACCAAGGCAACGAUGCAUAGACGACCGGCGAGGGGGAUCGCCGGCCUGGGAGGGGAACCGGGGUCAAGACGACUACGGUACGCAGCAGUAGGGAACCUGCCGCAGUAGGGGAGAGCAUGACGGAACAGGGGGGCGUGAGUGGUAGCGGCCCUCGGAUCGUAAAACUCGGUUAUUAGUGAUGAACAUAUUUGUAAGUAACUGUGCACAUCUUGACGGUACCUAAUCAGAAAGCCACGGCUAACUACGUG